Molecule: long non-coding RNA, 456 nt
Organism: Leopardus geoffroyi (Geoffroy's cat)
Lineage: Eukaryota; Metazoa; Chordata; Mammalia; Carnivora; Felidae
Exons: 3
Source: RefSeq, a predicted model, not a curated record
CGAGGAAGUCGGCGCUACAGAGCAGCCACAGGCGCGAGCCCCAAAGCUUGCUCCUGCCACCAGUUCUUCGGAGAGACUUGGAUCAGGCGGUGUUUGCAACAGAGAGAGAAAACCCGCUCUCCUCUGCGGAGGGAAGGAAUCCCAAACUCUUCCUAAGGUGGUCUGAGCCUGAAAAGCAAACCUAUGAAUUCGUGGAUAGUUUUGGCACCGAUGCACCAUUUUCAAGUGUCCCCCACACCACAUCACGGCAGAAUUUUGGUCUCCUGACUAUACCAUCCAUCUGCUCUCUAUGGAAAAGAAGUUGGAUUCUCUCAAGGAAGAUUCUAUCACCUGCAGCGGAGCACAGCACCUGAGAGAAAGGAGUAGGCCUUGCCAGAUACUUCUCAGAACACAGGAAUGAAGACUCUCUGAUAUCCUGCUGUGUCAUCCAGCUGACUACACAGGACCAAUGGGCUA